This is a long non-coding RNA of Lagopus muta (rock ptarmigan), 432 nucleotides long. RefSeq lists it as uncharacterized. Lineage: Eukaryota; Metazoa; Chordata; Aves; Galliformes; Phasianidae. The transcript has 3 exons. The record is from RefSeq and is a predicted model, not a curated record.
GUUAAAGAGCAGGAGAGGGAGCAAAAGAAGCCCGGCAGCUGGACGUCGCUGGAAGGAAGCAGAGAGCACGAAGCAGCGUCGAAAGGGGAGCGCGGAGAGGCUUUAAAAAUCAUAUGCUGAUCCCAAUGAACACAGGCAAACCAGAGCUCCGGCUGCCUAGGCUGUGCUGAACUUCUGUGCAGGGUGAACUUCUGGUCACGUUGGGUGAAGCAGCUUCCUUGCCCUGAAUUCUCUUCAUUUACUACACUUUUGUGAAUUGACUGCAGGUAGUUUUGCAUCAGGAGCUGUUGCUCUACAUGCCUGUUAAGUAUCAGACAGUGCCUGGCACGACGCUGUGUUGCGGCUGUAGGACAGCAGCACUGUUGGUAACGCGCAGAUGCCUUAGCUGUCGCUGAGCAGUGCCGCGCAGAGCCAAGGGCAUUUUAACUUCUU